Molecule: ribosomal RNA, 1302 nt
Filed under: Bacillus subtilis
Lineage: Bacteria; Bacillati; Bacillota; Bacilli; Caryophanales; Bacillaceae
Description: bacterial SSU rRNA
Rfam family: Bacterial small subunit ribosomal RNA
Source: RNAcentral
ACGCUGGCGGCGUGCCUAAUACAUGCAAGUCGAGCGGACAGAUGGGAGCUUGCUCCCUGAUGUUAGCGGCGGACGGGUGAGUAACACGUGGGUAACCUGCCUGUAAGACUGGGAUAACUCCGGGAAACCGGGGCUAAUACCGGAUGGUUGUUUGAACCGCAUGGUUCAAACAUAAAAGGUGGCUUCGGCUACCACUUACAGAUGGACCCGCGGCGCAUUAGCUAGUUGGUGAGGUAACGGCUCACCAAGGCGACGAUGCGUAGCCGACCUGAGAGGGUGAUCGGCCACACUGGGACUGAGACACGGCCCAGACUUCUACGGGAGGCAGCAGUAGGGAAUCUUCCGCAAUGGACGAAAGUCUGACGGAGCAACGCCGCGUGAGUGAUGAAGGUUUUCGGAUCGUAAAGCUCUGUUGUUAGGGAAGAACAAGUACCGUUCGAAUAGGGCGGUACCUUGACGGUACCUAACCAGAAAGCCACGGCUAACUACGUGCCAGCAGCCGCGGUAAUACGUAGGUGGCAAGCGUUGUCCGGAAUUAUUGGGCGUAAAGGGCUCGCAGGCGGUUUCUUAAGUCUGAUGUGAAAGCCCCCGGCUCAACCGGGGAGGGUCAUUGGAAACUGGGGAACUUGAGUGCAGAAGAGGAGAGUGGAAUUCCACGUGUAGCGGUGAAAUGCGUAGAGAUGUGGAGGAACACCAGUGGCGAUAGGCGACUCUCUGGUCUGUAACUGACGCUGAGGAGCGAAAGCGUGGGGAGCGAACAGGAUUAGAUACCCUGGUAGUCCACGCCGUAAACGAUGAGUGCUAAGUGUUAGGGGGUUUCCGCCCCUUAGUGCUGCAGCUAACGCAUUAAGCACUCCGCCUGGGGAGUACGGUCGCAAGACUGAAACUCAAAGGAAUUGACGGGGGCCCGCACAAGCGGUGGAGCAUGUGGUUUAAUUCGAAGCAACGCGAAGAACCUUACCAGGUCUUGACAUCCUCUGACAAUCCUAGAGAUAGGACGUCCCCUUCGGGGGCAGAGUGACAGGUGGUGCAUGGUUGUCGUCAGCUCGUGUCGUGAGAUGUUGGGUUAAGUCCCGCAACGAGCGCAACCCUUGAUCUUAGUUGCCAGCAUUCAGUUGGGCACUCUAAGGUGACUGCCGGUGACAAACCGGAGGAAGGUGGGGAUGACGUCAAAUCAUCAUGCCCCUUAUGACCUGGGCUACACACGUGCUACAAUGGACAGAACAAAGGGCAGCGAAACCGCGAGGUUAAGCCAAUCCCACAAUCUGUUCUCAGUUCGGAUCGCAGUCUGCAACUCGACUG